Molecule: ribosomal RNA, 497 nt
Filed under: uncultured bacterium
Lineage: Bacteria
Description: partial 16S ribosomal RNA
Rfam family: Bacterial small subunit ribosomal RNA
Source: RNAcentral
GAUGAACGCUGGCGGCGUGCCUAAUACAUGCAAGUCGAGCGAACGGACGAGAAGCUUGCUUCUCUGAUGUUAGCGGCGGACGGGUGAGUAACACGUGGAUAACCUACCUAUAAGACUGGGAUAACUUCGGGAAACCGUAGCUAAUACCGGAUAAUAUUUUGAACCGCAUGGUUCAAAAGUGAAAGACGGUCUUGCUGUCACUUAUAGAUGGAUCCGCGCUGCAUUAGCUAGUUGGUAAGGUAACGGCUUACCAAGGCAACGAUGCAUAGCCGACCUGAGAGGGUGACAGCCACCAUGGGAAAGGAGACAGGGUCAAGCACCAACGGGGAGGCAGAGGGAGGAAAUUUGCAGAAAGGGGAAAAGGCCUGACGGAGAACCGCGGGGGGAGGAAAAAAGGUGUGGGGAUCUAAAAACGUUUUUAGAGGGAAAAAAAAUAGGUGAAAGUAAUAGGGCAAAUCUUGAGGGUACAAAACAAAAAAGCCACGGAAAACUAGGGC